Molecule: ribosomal RNA, 498 nt
Filed under: uncultured bacterium
Lineage: Bacteria
Description: bacterial SSU rRNA
Rfam family: Bacterial small subunit ribosomal RNA
Source: RNAcentral
CUGGCGGCGUGCCUAACACAUGCAAGUCGAGCGGGGACAUUGCGACGGAGACGAAGUACUCGUACGGAGUCAAAGAUGUAAUGUUCUAGCGGCGGACGGGUGAGUAACGCGUGAGCAACCUGUCCCUUACAGGGGGAUAACACAGCGAAAGUUGUACUAAUACCGCAUGAGACCACAGGAUGACAUCAUCCAGGGGUCAAAGGAGCAAUCCGGUAAGGGGUGGGCUCGCGUCCGAUUAGAUAGUUGGUGAGGUAACGGCCCACCAAGUCGACGAUCGGUAGCCGACCUGAGAGGGUGAUCGGCCACAUUGGGACUGAGACACGGCCCAAACUCCUACGGGAGGCAGCAGUGGGGAAUAUUGGGCAAAUGGGGGAAACCCUGACCCAGCAACGCCGCGUGAGGGAAGAAGGUUUUCGGAUCGUAAACCUCUGUCCCAGGUGAAGAGGAAGAGACGGUAGCCUGGGAGGAAGCCCCGGCUAACUACGUGCCAGCCGCCGC